GACGUAGGGCGCGAGCGUUGUCCGGAUUUAUUGGGCGUAAAGAGCUCGUAGGCGGCUUGUCGCGUCGACUGUGAAAUCCCGCGGCUCAACCGCGGGUCUGCAGUCGAUACGGGCAGGCUAGAGUUCGGUAGGGGAGACUGGAAUUCCUGGUGUAGCGGUGAAAUGCGCAGAUAUCAGGAGGAACACCGAUGGCGAAGGCAGGUCUCUGGGCAUUAACUGACGCUGAGGAGCGAAAGCAUGGGGAGCGAACAGG
RNAcentral lists this ribosomal RNA (253 nucleotides) under uncultured bacterium. RNAcentral describes it as "partial 16S ribosomal RNA". It matches the Rfam family "Bacterial small subunit ribosomal RNA", at positions 524 to 776 of the family's 1533-position model. The record is from RNAcentral.